RNAcentral lists this ribosomal RNA (301 nucleotides) under uncultured bacterium. Its description in RNAcentral is "partial 16S ribosomal RNA". It matches the Rfam family "Bacterial small subunit ribosomal RNA", at positions 509 to 807 of the family's 1533-position model. The record is from RNAcentral.
CAGCAGCCGCGGUAAUACGAAGGGUGCAAGCGUUACUCGGAAUUACUGGGCGUAAAGCGUGCGUAGGUGGUGGUUUAAGUCCGUUGUGAAAGCCCUGGGCUCAACCUGGGAAUUGCAGUGGAUACUGGAUCACUAGAGUGUGGUAGAGGAUAGUGGAAUUUCCGGUGUAGCAGUGAAAUGCGUAGAGAUCGGAAGGAACAUCUGUGGCGAAGGCGACUAUCUGGGCCAACACUGACACUGAGGCACGAAAGCGUGGGGAGCAAACAGGAUUAGAGACCCGCGUAGUCCCUGUCUCUUAUAC